RNAcentral lists this ribosomal RNA (137 nucleotides) under uncultured eukaryote. Its description in RNAcentral is "partial 18S ribosomal RNA". It matches the Rfam family "Eukaryotic small subunit ribosomal RNA", at positions 1299 to 1458 of the family's 1831-position model. The record is from RNAcentral.
UGGUGGAGUGAUUUGUCUGCUUAAUUGCGAUAACGAACGAGACCUUAACCUGCUAAAUAGCCCGACCCGCACUCGCGGGCCGCUGGCUUCUUAGAGGGACUAUCGGCUCAAGCCGAUGGAAGUUUGAGGCAAUAACA